UUACAUUAAUGGAAGAAUUUCCAGAGUCUGAUUUGUUGAUUGAUGAUUCAGAUGCAUUGCAACUAGAAAAGGUAGGCGAUAUGACCAAUUCAUUAUCAAUAUCCACUACAUCAUCAGUGGAAUCUGAUUCCAGAGAAAGUAGACCCUCAUUUUCAUCAAAGUCUUCACCCGAAUCUGUCCCUUCAUCAUCAUCAUGAUCACUGCAGACAUGCAUCACUUCAGCAAUAGCCAUUCCAAUUUCAUUGACAACCAAAUCAUCUUGCCCAAAAUCUAUUCCAGCUUCACAAUUUCCAUCUCCAGAGCUAGCACAUGAGCUAUGCUCAAAGCCUGCCUUUUCAGAGGUGCUGUGGCAGAGACAUAAGCUGCUGCUAACACCUUCGGCGCUAGAGUCCACCAAAGAUCCGCCCAUCCACAAGCUUAAUUCCAAAUUCAGGAGAUGAUUUUCUG
Molecule: small RNA, 447 nt
Filed under: Oryza sativa Japonica Group (Japanese rice)
Lineage: Eukaryota; Viridiplantae; Streptophyta; Magnoliopsida; Poales; Poaceae
Description: sRNA Os01g0814550
Source: RNAcentral